This 108-nucleotide ribosomal RNA is filed under the name Nephila pilipes (giant wood spider). The record is from RNAcentral. Lineage: Eukaryota; Metazoa; Arthropoda; Arachnida; Araneae; Nephilidae.
UCGCUACCAUGCUGAAAACACCGGUUCUCGUCCGAUCACCGAAGUUAAGCAUCAUCUGGCGCGGUCAGUACUUGGGAGGGUAACCACCUCGGAACAACGCGUGCCGUU